GUCACAUUGCAUGUGCAUCUGCAUUGUUUUAUUGAUAAACGGUUUUGUGUCUCUAAUAGACUGAGAUAAAUGCUUCACAAUUUGCAACAAUAUAACAGAAGAUGAAAAAAGGCCUAGGCUCUGAAGGUCCUCCUGGGCCUGAUCCUGGCUCACCCUCUGAUGGCUCAAAACCAGGACCUGCUCCAGGCCCAUCUCAGGAGGAACCCUCUUUCCCUGAUCUACAGGACUACAUCCUGAACCUCUCUGAUGAUCUCUAUCUGCAGUCCCUUCCUCUCCCUCUCUCCCUCCCCCCCCUCUCUCUCCCUUCCUCAUCUAUCUCUCUUCUCUCCAGAGGCUGUCCUGUAAUGGAGUGGCUGGUAAUCAUCCUGAGCUGUGCUCCAACACUGACCCUGACGCACCCAGAACAAACACUGCACAGGAAGAGAGAAUGGAUUUAGGGAGGGAGGGAAGGAGGGGGAGAGACAGAGAGACGGAGAGAGAUAGA
Engraulis encrasicolus (European anchovy) is the source of this 484-nucleotide long non-coding RNA. RefSeq lists it as uncharacterized. The transcript is spliced from 3 exons. The record is from RefSeq and is a predicted model, not a curated record. Lineage: Eukaryota; Metazoa; Chordata; Actinopteri; Clupeiformes; Engraulidae.